RNAcentral lists this ribosomal RNA (253 nucleotides) under uncultured bacterium. RNAcentral's name for it is "partial 16S ribosomal RNA". It matches the Rfam family "Bacterial small subunit ribosomal RNA", at positions 524 to 776 of the family's 1533-position model. The record is from RNAcentral.
GACGGAGGAUGCAAGCGUUAUCCGGAAUGAUUGGGCGUAAAGCGUCCGCAGGUGGCAGUUCAAGUCUGCUGUCAAAGACCGGGGCUUAACUUCGGAAAGGCAGUGGAAACUGAACAGCUAGAGUAUGGUAGGGGCAGAGGGAAUUCCUGGUGUAGCGGUGAAAUGCGUAGAUAUCUGGAGGAACACCGGUGGCGAAGGCGGCAUCCUGGACCGGCAUUGACGCUGAGGAGCGAAAGCCAGGGGAGCAAACGGG